AGAGUUUGAUCAUGGCUCAGAACGAACGCUGGCGGCGUGGAUAAGACAUGCAGGUCGGACGAGAUUUUCCGUUGUAGCAAUACGAUGGAAAGUCUAGUGGCGAACGGGUGCUUAACACGUGGGCAACCUGCCGAGAAGUGGGGGAUAGCUCGCCGAAAGGCGAAUUAAUACCGCAUGUGAUCGGGAGAGACAUCUCUUCGAAAUUAAAGUCGGGGCAACCUGACGCUUCUUGUGGGGCCCGCGGCCUAUCAGCUAGUUGGUGAGGUAACGGCUCACCAAGGCUUUGACGGGUAGCUGGUCUGAGAGGACGACCAGCCACACUGGGACUGAGACACGGCCCAGACACCUACGGGUGGCAGCAGUCGAGAAUUUUUGACAAUGGGGGAAACCCUGAUCGAGCGACGCCGCGUGGAGGAUGAAGGUCUUCGGAUUGUAAACUCCUGUCAUUGGGGAACAAUGCGUGACGGUUAACUGCCGUCGCGUUGAUAGUACCCGAAGAGGAAGAGACGGCUAACUCUGUGCCAGCAGCCGCGGUAAUACAGAGGUCUCAAGCGUUGUUCGGAUUCAUUGGGCGUAAAGGGUGCGUAGGCGGCGCGGUAAGUCGGGUGUGAAAUCUCGGAGCUUAACUCCGAAACUGCAUUCGAUACUGCCGUGCUCGAGGACUGGAGAGGAGACUGGAAUUUACGGUGUAGCGGUGAAAUGCGUAGAUAUCGUAAGGAAGACCAGUGGCGAAGGCGGGUCUCUGGACAGUUCCUGACGCUGAGGCACGAAGGUCAGGGGAGCAAACGGGAUUAGAUACCCCGGUAGUCCUGACAGUAAACGGUGCACGUUUGGUGUGGGAGGAUUCGACCCCUUCUGCGCCGGAGCUAACGCGUUAAACGUGCCGCCUGGGGAGUACGGUCGCAAGAUUAAAACUCAAGAAUUGACGGGGGCCCGCACAGCGGUGGAGUAUGUGGCUCAUUUCGAUGCAACGCGAAG
This 978-nucleotide ribosomal RNA is filed under the name uncultured bacterium. RNAcentral's name for it is "bacterial SSU rRNA". It matches the Rfam family "Bacterial small subunit ribosomal RNA", at positions 8 to 966 of the family's 1533-position model. The record is from RNAcentral.